GUGGCCCUGUCCGUCUCUUUGCCUGCGUACUGUAGAUGCAAAGGGCCCCGGCGGGACCAGGUCAGGCCCAGUCCCCGGAAGAGAGGAUGCUCCCGGCAGCCGCCAAGCUCUGAGAUCCGCCUGAGAUCUUCCCGCUUUUCCCUUCCGCGCCCGUUUUGACAGCUACUCUGCGACUGGUCAGCACACGGAAGCUCCGCCCCUAACUUCCGGGAGGCCGCUCAUUCAUAGCUUUGCGAUGCCACAGUGGCCACCGGAAGCCUCAGCCCGCUUCCGCCGUCCGCCCCCCAGUGGCCACGCCCGCCCAGAAGUCGCUCUUUUUUACCGCCUGGAGGCGAGUGAGAUGCGGCGUAGUGACAUCUACCCGGCCCCUCGCUCGCUCCACCCCUAGGCAGCAUCACUAAGCGUCGGCUCACCUAUGGAGCUCAAGUGAGUUUCAGGGAGCUCGAGUUUCCCGAUGCCGCUCAUGCCUCCAUAAAUACCUGACAUCGUGCUGGAGACUGUCAUAAUAAUACUAAUGACGAUGACCCUAUAGCCGCUGGACCAGGCGAUUUACACUUUAAUCCAGAGACAGUGGGAAAAAGAAUGGGAAGAAGUCUACAGUGUUCACCCAUCAUCUAGAGUUCAACAGUUGUUUCCCUUUUGCCCUAUUUGCUCCAUCCUGGUCUACAGGUCGUCACAUUGAGCAUGGGGAUGGGGAUGAAGAAGGCAGUGCCCAUGAGUGGGCACACAAUGGUUGAAUGAAAAGAAGAGGCAUCAUGGCAUAGAGAUCUUGAACCUAGACUGUGCAUCCCAGCUGCACCGAGAAGCACUUCCAGCCUGCAAGAACCUUGCACUGGACCAAAUUCAAGCACAGCCUUGAUGCCAAAGAACAAAGAGAUACAUGGGGCGGCUUGGGUCAAAAGCCCAGGAAAAAUUUUGUGCUCCUUCGUGUAUAACUCUUUGCAGCCCCGUGGACUGUAGCCUGCCAGACUCCUCUGUCCAUGGAAUUUCCCAGGUGGCUCAGUGGUAAAGAAUUGCCUGCCAAUGGCAGUAGAUGCAGGAGAUCUGGUUUGA
Bubalus bubalis (water buffalo) is the source of this 1053-nucleotide long non-coding RNA. RefSeq lists it as uncharacterized. The record is from RefSeq and is a predicted model, not a curated record. The transcript is spliced from 4 exons. Lineage: Eukaryota; Metazoa; Chordata; Mammalia; Artiodactyla; Bovidae.